GUCUUGGGUUUAUUUCCUAAUAUAAAGGCUAAUUAAUUUGAGUUUUAUGAAUUUCCUCUACUGAUCUUACUCGUCAAAUAAGCUAAUUCAGAUGAGAUUAUAAAAUAUUAAAAUUAUGUGUCAAACUAAGUUAAAUUAUAAUACAUAAUUCUUUAUAAAAGGGAUUAUUCAAGGCUUUAAAUCAUACAGAUUUAAUGUGUCAACAUAGAUUGUAAUUUCCACGUCCUUAGUUUUAAGACCUUAAGCUGAUGUUAAAUUGAGUUAACUGUGAAUUAUCUUCAUAUACCUGAAUUUUUUUUUCAUACAGAAUCUUGCUGUUGCCCAGACUGGAGUGCAGCAUCAUGAUCUCAGCUCACUGCAACUGCUGCCUCCUGGGUUCAAGCGAUUCUCCUGCCUCAGCCUCCCGAGUAGCCGGGACUAUAGAUCUGCACCACCACACCCAGCUAAUUUUUGUAUUUUAGUAGAGACGGGUUUUUGCCAUGUUGGCCAGGCAGGUCUUGAACUCCUGGCCUCAAGUGAUCCAUUCCCCCUUGGCCUCCCAAAAUUCUGGGAUUACAGGCAUGAGCCACUGCGCCCGGCCCCUGGAAAAUUUUCAAGUAAGAUAAAGAUAUAAAACAUUGGUCACUAAACAUCAUUUUAAUUUAUAUUUGUCUCAUAUUUUUACAAAAAUUACAGAAUGGGCCAGGUGCAGUGUCUAAUACUUCAUAGGGCUCUUGAGAGGACUGAGACGACACGUGUAAGCCCUCAAUAUGUAUUUGCUGUUGGCGUUUUGUUGUUGUUGUUUCUUUCAGACAGACUCACUUUGUCACCCAGGUUGGAGUACAGUGUCACUGUCUUGGCCCACUGCAACCUCCACUUCCCAGGUUCAAGUGAUUCUCCUACCUCAGCCUUCCAAGUAGCUGGAACUACAGAUGAAAACAGCAACUUUUCAAGAUCCCCUCUCAAAUGCUGCCUGGGGAUUCUCUUUGGAAUUGCAUAAAAUUUAUACAUUAUUUUGAGAAAUGUUAACAGCUUUUUUAGAGUAAAUCUUUCCGUCUAGAAACAUGGUAUGUAUCUGCGUUCAGCUCUUGUUUUAUGUCCUUCAGUAAAAUUGCAAAGCUUUUUUCACAUAAGUGUUCUGCCUUUCUUGCUUAAUUUAGCCUUGGGUAAUUUAUAGAUUUGUUGCUGCUGUAAAUUUUUUAAAUUUCUAUUUCUAAUGGGGAUGCUAUUAUAAAGAAAAGCUAUUGAUCUUUUACUAUUCACCUUGUAGCUAGAGAUCAUUCUAAAUUGCCUUUUUAUAUGUAAUAGUUUUUUUUUUUUAAUCUGAGUCUCUUGAAUUUUCAAUUAUUGGACAGUCAUAGGUGAUUGGUCAUUGUUUUCCUUCCAGAGUCCUUCCAGAGUUGGAAAUAGACCCAUGUACAAAUGGGAGACAAAUGUAUGAUAAUUGGGGCACUUACAGUCAGAGGAAAGGAUGGCUCCUUGAAUGAAAAUGGCAUUGGGACAACUGGAUCUCCAUUUUAUUUUUUAUUUUUUAUUUUUUUUUUUUUGAGACGGAGUCUCGCUCUGUCACCCAGGCUGGAGUGCAGUGGCCAGAUCUCAGCUCACUGCAAGCUCCACCUCCCGGGUUUAGCCAUUCUCCUGGCUCAGCCUCCCGAGUAGCUGGGACUACAGGCGCCCGCCACUUCGCCCAGCUAGUUUUUUGUAUUUUUUAGUAGAGACGGGGUUUCACCAUGUUAGCCAGGAUGGUCUCGAUCUCCUGACCUCGUGAUCCGCCCGUCUCGGCCUCCCAAAGUGCUGGGGUUACAGGCUUGAGCCACCGUGCCCGGCCUGGAUCUCCAUUUUAAAAAAUAUAUAAAGUAGGCUGGGUGCAGUGGCGCCUGUAAUCCCAGCACUUUGGGAAGCCAUGGCAGGUGGAUCACCUGAGGUCAGGAGUUUGAGACCAGCCUUAGCAACAUGGUGAAACCCUGUAUCUACUAAAAAUACAAAAAUAAUAGCCUGGCAUGGUGGUGUGCACCUGUCCCAGCUACUCGGGAGGCUUAGGCAUGGAUGACUUGAACCUGGGAGGCGAAGGUUGCAGUGAGCCGAGAUCAUGCCACUGCACUCCAGCCUGGGCAACACAGCAAGACUCUGUCUCAAAAUAAAUAAAAUAAAAUAAAAUAAAAUUAAAUUAAAAAUAAAGUUAUGACUAUAUUGUACAGCAGAUGCAAAAACAUUUUCAGAUGAAUUAAAGGUCUAAAUUUAAAAACAAAAGGCCAAACAAUUAGAACUAAUCAAGGAAAUAUCUGCCUUUGGCCAGUCACAUAGUCAGCACUUGUCGGGAGGUCAGCCCGUGUUUGCUCAUCCUGCCUGUCUGCAACAUUUCAUAAACCCCUGACUCCGUGACUGUGUGCAGCCCUCCAGAAGAAUACCUUGGAGACGAUAAGCAGGACAGAGCACAGGUUCCCACAUCUCUUGCUUGAAUCACUGCAUUUUUUAAAAAAGAUAAGUUCAAUAAUCCUAGCGCUUGUACGUAAGAUAACAUCUGACGGGAUUAAUGAUUAUGCCUCUGUCAUCUAUAACCAGAUGUACUCUUGCACCCAAACUUUGCUGAGACGUUGCUGUAAUGUAACUUCUGAGCACAUUUGACUUCACUUGUGAGCACAUGUAGAACCUCUACCACUUGAUAUAUAAGCUGCGAACUGAAAUAUGGCUUUGAGCAGCCUAGCAGAAACUCUGCAAGAC
RNAcentral lists this long non-coding RNA (2700 nucleotides) under Papio anubis (olive baboon). RNAcentral describes it as "lncRNA (ENSPANG00000042002.1)". Lineage: Eukaryota; Metazoa; Chordata; Mammalia; Primates; Cercopithecidae. The record is from RNAcentral.